CAAGACGAACUAUAUAAGUUGGUAAUUAAGUACUCUAAUCUUCAUCAAGAACGUCGAGAUUUGAAGAAAGGAGGAUUGGAAAAAUUGGAGAAGAGCAUUAUGAGCAUAUAGGCUUCAGCUCCAUAGUGAAAAUUGAAGAUGAAGUAAAAUCAAAGCCGUCUCCUUUUUCAAAAGUCAAAGAUAAAUUUUGAAAAACAAACAAAAGAACUUGGAUUUGUAGGGUAUUUUGGUCUUUAGAAAGACUCAAGUUGCCCUUUAUUUUACUGAAAGAUUUUUACUUUGAAUUUUUUAUAAUUUCAAUUGUCUUUUGGAGCCUUUGUGUUGGUUGUAACAUCAAUAAAAGAUCUGUACCUUGUGGAUUCAAGGUAUUUCAAA
Long non-coding RNA from Quercus robur (English oak), 375 nucleotides. RefSeq lists it as uncharacterized. The record is from RefSeq and is a predicted model, not a curated record. The transcript has 2 exons. Lineage: Eukaryota; Viridiplantae; Streptophyta; Magnoliopsida; Fagales; Fagaceae.